This 455-nucleotide ribosomal RNA is filed under the name uncultured organism. Its description in RNAcentral is "bacterial SSU rRNA". It matches the Rfam family "Bacterial small subunit ribosomal RNA", at positions 346 to 794 of the family's 1533-position model. The record is from RNAcentral.
GCGCAGCAGUCGCGAAUUUUUCUCAAUGGGGGAAACCCUGAAGGAGCGACGCCGCGUGGAGGAUGAAGGCUUUCGGGUUGCAAACUCCUGUCAUUUGAGAACAAGUGGCCGAACGUAACUGCUUCGGCCUUGAUAGUAUCAGAAGAGGAAGGGACGGCUAACUCUGUGCCAGCAGCCGCGGUAAUACAGAGGUCUCAAGCGUUGUUCGGAUUCAUUGGGCGUAAAGGGUGCGUAGGUGGCGCCGUAAGUCGGGUGUGAAAUUUCGGAGCUUAACUCCGAAACUGCAUUCGAUACUGCGGUGCUUGAGGACUGGAGAGGAGACUGGAAUUUACGGUGUAGCAGUGAAAUGCGUAGAGAUCGUAAGGAAGACCAGUGGCGAAGGCGGGUCUCUGGACAGUUCCUGACACUGAGGCACGAAGGCCAGGGGAGCAAACGGGAUUAGAUACCCGUGUAGU